UACGUAGGAGGCGAGCGUUGUUCGGAGUUACUGGGCGUAAAGGGUGUGUAGGCGGUUCUUUAAGUUUGGUGUGAAAUCUCCCGGCUCAACCGGGAGGGUGCGCCGAAUACUGAGGGACUAGAGUACGGGAGAGGAAAGUGGAAUUCCUGGUGUAGCGGUGAAAUGCGUAGAUAUCAGGAGGAACACCGGUGGUGUAGACGGCUUUCUGGACCGUAACUGACGCUGAGACACGAAAGCGUGGGUAGCAAACAGG
This 253-nucleotide ribosomal RNA is filed under the name uncultured bacterium. RNAcentral's name for it is "partial 16S ribosomal RNA". It matches the Rfam family "Bacterial small subunit ribosomal RNA", at positions 524 to 776 of the family's 1533-position model. The record is from RNAcentral.